AUUCAGUGAUGGUUGCAUAGUUCAGUAAGUUCACUGAAAAGCAAUGACUUGUACACUUAGCAUGGAUGAAUUU
Molecule: small nucleolar RNA, 73 nt
Organism: Ochotona princeps (American pika)
Lineage: Eukaryota; Metazoa; Chordata; Mammalia; Lagomorpha; Ochotonidae
Source: Ensembl